CCUACGGGAGGCAGCAGUGGGGAAUAUUGGACAAUGGGCGCAGGCCUGAUCCAGCCAUGCCGCGUGUGUGAAGAAGGCCUUCGGGUUGUAAAGCACUUUUAUCCGGAAAGAAAAGCUUUGGGUUAAUACCCUGAAGUCAUGACGGUACCGGAAGAAUAAGCACCGGCUAACUUCGUGCCAGCAGCCGCGGUAAUACGAAGGGUGCAAGCGUUACUCGGAAUUACUGGGCGUAAAGCGUGCGUAGGUGGUUUGUUAAGUCUGAUGUGAAAGCCCUAGGCUCAACCUGGGAAUUGCAUUGGAUACUGGCAGGCUAGAGUGCGGUAGAGGAUAGUGGAAUUCCCGGUGUAGCAGUGAAAUGCGUAGAGAUCGGGAGGAACAUCUGUGGCGAAGGCGACUAUCUGGGCCAGCACUGACACUGAGGCACGAAAGCGUGGGGAGCAAACAGGAUUAGAUACCCUGGUAGUCCACGACCCUAACGACUAGCGACUGAUGUUGGUGCACUAGCACNCAUAUCGAGCUAACGACGUUAAGUUCGUCCGCCGUCGGGAGGUACGGUCGCGAGACGUAGAAACGUACAAAUAGAAGUUAGUACGGACGUGAGGACGUUGGCCGACGGGACGACCGACCGACGGGGAGGGUAGGGGAG
RNAcentral lists this ribosomal RNA (646 nucleotides) under uncultured bacterium. RNAcentral's name for it is "bacterial SSU rRNA". The stretch from base 1 to 541 matches the Rfam family "Bacterial small subunit ribosomal RNA", at positions 338 to 873 of the family's 1533-position model. The record is from RNAcentral.